This is a non-coding RNA of Coturnix japonica (Japanese quail), 636 nucleotides long. The record is from RefSeq and is a predicted model, not a curated record. NCBI's taxonomy places the organism in Eukaryota, Metazoa, Chordata, Aves, Galliformes, Phasianidae.
GGGAGGGGUGUGAGACAGUCUGAAGAGUGUGAUGUAGGCCUUUGUCUGCUGGAGCUAUGGAAGACCAAGGGAGCUGCUGUUUCUUAGUGUGUGGUGGCUCUGAAGAGGGGCUUCCAGAAAGCUUGUAUUCUGUGGAACUGGUCCCUGCUUACAGAGGGGUUACUCCAUCCUUCCUGAGAUGAAGUGGUUUUCUUGGUGAAACAGACAAGUUUGGAGGAAAGUGGUAACAGGCUCAGUCUCUGGGUUAUGUAUUGAAGAAUGGCUGUUCCUAUUCUUAAGGGAUGUUUUAGCACUCAGACAAGCUGAACUCAUUCCCCUGUCUCCAGGAAAGCCAACAAAUUGGUGCAAAAGCAACGUGUUGUUCUGCUAAUGUUGGGUAGGCAGAAGUGGUGGUAAUAACUUCACAGUUAAUGCAGUGCAUUUGUGACGCUUUGUGAAAGCACAGAAACAAGAUCCUAAAGCCAUGGGCUUCUAUGGGAAGAAGGCAGCUGGAUCACAACUCGCUUCCAGUUCAGAGCAUUCUUGUAGCUGGUCGGCAAGUCUUCGUGCUUGCUGAGAUCCACAGAGCUCCACCCGCUGGUAGAUGACUGCUCCUAAAACCUCCACAUGCAAAAAGCUGAAUGUGUGUGAAUGGAG